CGCCUGGUCGCCUGCCCACUGGACUCUGCUGGCCGCGAAGCCCGCAUUUAAGCACAGGUGCCCCCUCCACUAGGAAGGGACAGCUAGCAUUCCGAGGCGACGGCGUGCCCCCUUCUGAUGACAGCAGGAGUUCCCAGGAAGUCAGACCUACCCAACAGGAAAUGGUAUUAGAUUUGGUGAAGAAAACUCUCAUAAUAAGAGCUCCUGAUCCAGACCCUGGGUCCUGACCACUAGGCUUCCAGGAAUUGUCAUUCCCUGGGUACCGAGAGCCACGUGGAGGAGGAAACCACCGGAGUUUAGAGGGAGGAAAGAUGGAAAGGCUACUUUCACCGAACCAGAGCUGGACAGAAGUUUGGAUCCUAUCCCUCACCUCUCUGGCUUUCAAACAGAUAGAUAAACACGUCACAGAGAAUGAAGGAAGCAAGGAAAGCUACCAUGUUGGGAGCCUCUGUUCACCGAAGAACU
Molecule: long non-coding RNA, 465 nt
Organism: Leptonychotes weddellii (Weddell seal)
Lineage: Eukaryota; Metazoa; Chordata; Mammalia; Carnivora; Phocidae
Source: RefSeq, a predicted model, not a curated record